RNAcentral lists this ribosomal RNA (346 nucleotides) under uncultured bacterium. RNAcentral's name for it is "partial 16S ribosomal RNA". It matches the Rfam family "Bacterial small subunit ribosomal RNA", at positions 338 to 681 of the family's 1533-position model. The record is from RNAcentral.
CCUACGGGUGGCAGCAGUGAGGAAUAGUGGUCAAUGGGCGCGAGCCUGAACCAGCCAAGUAGCGUGAAGGAUGACUGCCCUACGGGUUGUAAACUUCUUUUAUAAAGGAAUAAAGUGAGGCACGUGUGCCUGGUUGGAUGUACGUUAUGAAUAAGGAUCGGCUAACUCCGUGCCAGCAGCCGCGGUAAUACGGAGGUUCCGAGCGUUCUCCGGAUUUAUUGGGGUUACAGGGAGCGUAGAUGGGUUGUUAAGUCAGUUGGGAAAGUUUGCGGCUCAACCGUAAAAUUGCACUUGAUACUGGCAGCCUUGAGUACAGUUGAGGUCGGCGGACUUCGUGGUGUAGCGG